CGUGGGACAUGGAUAGGCCGAAUCACAACUGGCACGGACUAGGGAAACCCGAAUGUCUAAUUAAAACAAAGCAUUGCGACGGCCAGAGACCAGAGUUAACGCAAUGUGAUUUCUGCCCAGUGCUCUGAAUGUCAAAGUGAAGAAAUUCCAUGAAGUGCGGGGAAACGACAGGAGUAACUCUAUGACUUUUUUAAAUAACCAAAUGCCUCGUCAUUUAAUUUGUGAUGAUCAUGAAUGGAUCAACGAGAUUCCCACUGUCUCUCUCUACUAUCUAGCGAAAUCACAGUCAAGGGAACGGGUCAUAGGGGAAAGAAGACCCCGGUCGAACUUGAAUCUAGUCUGAUUCUGUGGAGAGGCAUUAUUGGCAUAGUUCACCUCUGUGAACGGAAUUAUGAAUUUGAUAGCCUUUUUUACUGAUACAGUCAAAUUCUUUAAUGAGGUCCCAAUAGGAAGCUCUAAUUAUGUGCCCCACUCGAUGAAGGCUGUGGGAAAGAACUCCGAAGACAGUGUCAGGCAGGGAGUUGGUCUGAUGCGGAACAUAUAUCACUAAUGGCAACGCAAGUAUCCCAAGGCGGCUCAGCCGGGACGGAAACCUGGCUUGGAGUAAAGGGGUAAAAGCCGGCUCGAUCUCGUUCUUCAGUAAGGAAGGGGACCCCGAAAGCGGGGCCCGUUGAUCCUUCCUUUUUUAAAGUCUAAUGAGAAAAGGGACGGAAAAUUUUUUAAGGGAUAAUUGACUCGCGGCUUCCAAACGUUCAUAGCGACGUUGCUUAUUGAUAUUUUGAUGUCGGCUCUUCCUAUCAUGGUGAAGCAGAAUUCGCAAAGCGUUGGAUUGUUCACCUACUAACAGGGAAUGUGAGCUUAGCCUAGACCGUCGUGAGAUAGGUUAGUUUUACCCACAAGAAGACCAGUUGGUACGAUGGUAAAAUCUGCCUAGUACGAGAGGAACCGUAGGUUCGGACAUUUGGUACUGCGCUCGGUUGCACGAAGCUACCCUUCACGAGAGAGGGUGAGCGCAAAAUGGCCUAUGCCUUUGAGGUCCCGCCUAGACUCCAUGGUUCCUGCUACUACGAGCAUGCCUUCGCGCAUGUGUGAUGUGUGUGGGCGUUGAAUUGUCAGUAGACGACUUUCCCG
Molecule: non-coding RNA, 1131 nt
Organism: Trichonephila clavipes
Lineage: Eukaryota; Metazoa; Arthropoda; Arachnida; Araneae; Nephilidae
Source: the annotation of a GenBank genome assembly